UGUUGCUGAUUUAAUAUUGCAGUGUGCAAUUGUCCAGCUUUCUGUGCUCAUACCAUCUGCCAGUAAAGAGGCAAUCAACCUCGUCUCGGAUUUUAAUCAAUUGUGCUUGAAUUUAGGCCUACAAGCACUUCAACCUUUUAAUGCCACUCGUGCUAUGAGUAGACCAUAUAGAGGAUUUGUUUUUAUUUAUUUAUUUAUUCGAGACCAUUUUUAAUUUACUGUAAUAAAUAUUAUAUUUUUUAAUUAUGAAGUAAUAUAAAUUUUAUUUAAUAUUCAGUUUUAA
Long non-coding RNA from Magnolia sinica, 283 nucleotides. RefSeq lists it as uncharacterized. The transcript has 2 exons. The record is from RefSeq and is a predicted model, not a curated record. Lineage: Eukaryota; Viridiplantae; Streptophyta; Magnoliopsida; Magnoliales; Magnoliaceae.